AUUGAACGCUGGCGGCAGGCCUAACACACGCAAGUCGAGCGGAUGAAGGGAGCUUGCUCCUGGAUUCAGCGGCGGACGGGUGAGUAAUGCCUAGGAAUCUGCCUGGUAGUGGGGGAUAACGUCCGGAAACGGGCGCUAAUACCGCAUACGUCCUGAGGGAGAAAGUGGGGGAUCUUCGGACCUCACGCUAUCAGAUGAGCCUAGGUCGGAUUAGCUAGUUGGUGGGGUAAAGGCCUACCAAGGCGACGAUCCGUAACUGGUCUGAGAGGAUGAUCAGUCACACUGGAACUGAGACACGGUCCAGACUCCUACGGGAGGCAGCAGUGGGGAAUAUUGGACAAUGGGCGAAAGCCUGAUCCAGCCAUGCCGCGUGUGUGAAGAAGGUCUUCGGAUUGUAAAGCACUUUAAGUUGGGAGGAAGGGCAGUAAGUUAAUACCUUGCUGUUUUGACGGUACCAACAGAAUAAGCACCGGCUAACUUCGUG
RNAcentral lists this ribosomal RNA (484 nucleotides) under uncultured bacterium. RNAcentral's name for it is "partial 16S ribosomal RNA". It matches the Rfam family "Bacterial small subunit ribosomal RNA", at positions 30 to 507 of the family's 1533-position model. The record is from RNAcentral.